RNAcentral lists this ribosomal RNA (254 nucleotides) under uncultured bacterium. RNAcentral describes it as "partial 16S ribosomal RNA". It matches the Rfam family "Bacterial small subunit ribosomal RNA", at positions 79 to 334 of the family's 1533-position model. The record is from RNAcentral.
CUUUCUUUGCUGGCGACCGGCGCACGGGUGAGUAACACGUAUCCAACCUGCCCUUUACUCGGGGAUAGCCUUUCGAAAGAAAGAUUAAUACCCGAUAGUAUAAUGAUUCCGCAUGGUUUCAUUAUUAAAGGAUUCCGGUAAAGGAUGGGGAUGCGUUCCAUUAGGUUGUUGGUGAGGUAACGGCUCACCAAGCCUUCGAUGGAUAGGGGUUCUGAGAGGAAGGUCCCCCACAUCGGAACUGAGACACGGUCCAA